CAUUAACGAAUUGUACUGGAAGGCUGAUGCUGGCAAGCUGAUUCUUUGGCUGCAUGUGCUCACUUCUUAACAAUAUUUAUCCAAACACCUGUGCACCUUUUGUGAAGAGGGUCCUCGCAGGAAUGGAUCCACUGUCUUUCAUAUGAAUUCGGUGGUUCUCUUGCGGGGUUCCCUUCCACACAAAUCCUCCCUACACAACAUACUCCUUUAAUAUUAUUGAACGUGGUUGGGCCGAAAGGCCUUUAUAAUGUUAUACAACUUUUAACAACGGAUCUCUUGGCUCUCGCAUCGAUGAAGGACGCAGCGAAAUGCGAUAAGUAAUGUGAAUUGCAGAAUUCAGUGAAUCAUCGAAUCUUUGAACGCACCUUGCGCUCCUUGGUAUUCCGAGGAGCACACCUGUUCGAGUGUCGUGAAAUUGUCAGACUGUUGAAGCUUUUGACUUCGGUCAAGAAUUUAUCUCAGUUUGGUGUUGGGCUUCUUUGCCGUGCCUUUGAUUGGAACGGCUGGCCUUAAAAGCAUUAGCUGGCCCUUGUGAGUGUGUUGGUUCUACUCAGUGUGAUAAUUACUUCUGACCGCUGAGGACAUCUUGCGAGAUGGCCCAUUCUCAUUUGGACUGCUUCUAAUCUGGUUGAUGGAUUUCUGAAUCUGUCCCACUUCUAAUUUUGACCUCGAAUCAGGUGGGACUACCCGCUGAACUUAAGCAUAUCAAUAA
RNAcentral lists this ribosomal RNA (712 nucleotides) under Clavulinaceae sp. LM5494. RNAcentral describes it as "eukaryotic LSU rRNA". The stretch from base 257 to 410 matches the Rfam family "5.8S ribosomal RNA". The record is from RNAcentral. Lineage: Eukaryota; Fungi; Basidiomycota; Agaricomycetes; Cantharellales; Hydnaceae.